CCUACGGGUGGCAGCAGUGGGGAAUAUUGGGCAAUGGGCGCAAGCCUGACCCAGCAACGCCGCGUGAAGGAAGAAGGCUUUCGGGUUGUAAACUUCCUUUGUCAGGGAAGAGUAGAAGACGGUACCUGACGAAUAAGCCACGGCUAACUACGUGCCAGCAGCCGCGGUAAUACGUAGGUGGCAAGCGUUGUCCGGAUUUACGGGGUGUAAGGGGCGUGUAGCCGGGUUGACAAGUCAGUGGUGAAAUCCUGCGGCUUAACCGCAGAACUGCAGUUGAAACUGUGAGUCUUGAGUACUGGAGAGGGAGGCGGAAUUCGUGGUGUAGCGGUGAAAUGCUUAGAGAUUAGGAAGAACGCCGGUGGCGAAGGCAG
RNAcentral lists this ribosomal RNA (371 nucleotides) under uncultured bacterium. Its description in RNAcentral is "partial 16S ribosomal RNA". It matches the Rfam family "Bacterial small subunit ribosomal RNA", at positions 338 to 724 of the family's 1533-position model. The record is from RNAcentral.